Acanthosepion pharaonis is the source of this 104-nucleotide non-coding RNA. NCBI's taxonomy places the organism in Eukaryota, Metazoa, Mollusca, Cephalopoda, Sepiida, Sepiidae. The record is from the annotation of a GenBank genome assembly.
UAUGUCCAUAUCACAUUGAAACACCAGUUCCCAUACAAUCACCAAAGUUAAGCAAUGUUAAGCCUGAUCAGUACCUAGAUGAGUGACUGUAUAGGAAUACUAAG